GGGGUUGUGGCUCAGUGGUAGAGUGCUCACCUCACAUGUGUGAGGCCCUGGGUUCGAUCCUCAACACCA
RNAcentral lists this transfer RNA (69 nucleotides) under Ictidomys tridecemlineatus (thirteen-lined ground squirrel). RNAcentral describes it as "Spermophilus tridecemlineatus (thirteen-lined ground squirrel) tRNA". It matches the Rfam family "tRNA". From Rfam's summary of the family: Transfer RNA (tRNA) molecules are approximately 80 nucleotides in length. Their secondary structure includes four short double-helical elements and three loops (D, anti-codon, and T loops). RNAcentral also lists the same sequence under 1 other name. The record is from Rfam by way of RNAcentral. Lineage: Eukaryota; Metazoa; Chordata; Mammalia; Rodentia; Sciuridae.